AAACGGCCGCGGUACCCUAACCGUGCAAAGGUAGCAUAAUCAUUUGCCUUUUAAUUGGAGGCUGGUAUGAAUGGUUUGACGAGAGCUAUGCUGUCUCUUUUGAAAUAUUUAAAAAUUAACUUUUAGGUAAAGAGGCCUAAAUUUAUUUAAGGGACAAGAAGACCCUGUUGAGCUUUAGUGAUCCUGUAAGUUUACAGGCAGCUUAAUAACUGUUGUAUUUUUGUGUAUUUAUAUAUAACAUAAGUUUGUAGGUAAUCUUUAGUUGGGGCGACUGAGGAACAUUAAAAGCUUCCUUGAAUUUAGUAAUAAGUUAAAUUAUUUAAUUUUUUGAUGCAUUUAUGUUAAUUUUGAUCCAAUUUAUUUUGAUUAAGAGAAAAAGUUACCACAGGGAUAACAGCGUAAUCUUUCUGGAGAGAUCUAAUCGAAAGAAGGGUUUGCGACCUCG
RNAcentral lists this ribosomal RNA (445 nucleotides) under Phorcus articulatus. RNAcentral's name for it is "partial 16S ribosomal RNA". It matches the Rfam family "Bacterial large subunit ribosomal RNA", at positions 1925 to 2528 of the family's 2925-position model. Lineage: Eukaryota; Metazoa; Mollusca; Gastropoda; Trochida; Trochidae. The record is from RNAcentral.